AAAGGAUAGGACAUAAUUGCAAAAUCUCAAAAUGGUUCGGCUCUCUUUUACUUCUCAGCCUUCUGGAAUUGUCUCUAUACAUCAUCAAUUAAAAAUUUGACCAUGUUUGACGGUAAAAAAGAAAGAGGCAAGGUGCUAGUCAGCUUCUUUUAAUGUUUUGGCUUUGCAAUUGCUUAUUAAUAUGAUAUUAUAACUUUUAUGGGUGUAAAGCUUGCAAUAAGUAGAUCUCAAAUGAUUAUGUUUGAUGUAGGCUCCAGAUGAAGAAUUUGAAGA
RNAcentral lists this unclassified non-coding RNA (273 nucleotides) under Hevea brasiliensis (rubber tree). Lineage: Eukaryota; Viridiplantae; Streptophyta; Magnoliopsida; Malpighiales; Euphorbiaceae. The record is from RNAcentral.